Molecule: ribosomal RNA, 492 nt
Filed under: uncultured bacterium
Lineage: Bacteria
Description: partial 16S ribosomal RNA
Rfam family: Bacterial small subunit ribosomal RNA
Source: RNAcentral
AGUGAACGCUGGCGGUAGGUCUAACACAUGCAAGUCGAACGGCAGCACAGUAAGAGCUUGCUCUUACGGGUGGCGAGUGGCGGACGGGUGAGGAAUACAUCGGAAUCUACUUUUUCGUGGGGGAUAACGUAGGGAAACCUACGCUAAUACCGCAUACGACCUACGGGUGAAAGCAGGGGAUCUUCGGACCUUGCGCGAUUGAAUGAGCCGAUGUCGGAUUAGCUAGUUGGCGGGGUAAAGGCCCACCAAGGCGACGAUCCGUAGCUGGUCUGAGAGGAUGAUCAGCCACACUGGAACUGAGACACGGUCCAGACUCCUACGGGAGGCAGCAGUGGGGAAUAUUGGACAAUGGGCGCAAGCCUGAUCCAGCCAUACCGCGUGGGUGAAGAAGGCCUUCGGGUUGUAAAGCCCUUUUGUUGGGAAAGAAAAGCAGCAGGUUAAUACCCCGCUGUUCUGACGGUACCCAAAGAAUAAGCACCGGCUAACUUCGUG